UACGUAGGGCGCAAGCGUUGUCCGGAAUUAUUGGGCGUAAAGAGCGUGUAGGCGGCCUUACAGGUCAGCUGUGAAAACUCGAGGCUCAACCUCGAGACGUCGGUUGAAACCGUAAGGCUAGAGUCCGGAAGAGGAGAGUGGAAUUCCCGGUGUAGCGGUGAAAUGCGCAGAUAUCGGGAAGAACACCCGUGGCGAAGGCGGCUCUCUGGGGCGGUACUGACGCUGAGACGCGAAAGCGUGGGGAGCGAACAGG
This 253-nucleotide ribosomal RNA is filed under the name uncultured bacterium. RNAcentral describes it as "partial 16S ribosomal RNA". It matches the Rfam family "Bacterial small subunit ribosomal RNA", at positions 524 to 776 of the family's 1533-position model. The record is from RNAcentral.